UACAGAUGGUAGUGGAAGUCAUGC
This 24-nucleotide non-coding RNA is filed under the name Rattus norvegicus (Norway rat). The record is from RNAcentral. Lineage: Eukaryota; Metazoa; Chordata; Mammalia; Rodentia; Muridae.